AGAGUUUGAUCCUGGCUCAGAUUGAACGCUAGCGGGAUGCUUUACACAUGCAAGUCGAACGGCAGCACGAGAGAGCUUGCUCUCUUGGUGGCGAGUGGCGGACGGGUGAGUAAUAUAUCGGAACGUGCCCAGUAGCGGGGGAUAACUACUCGAAAGAGUGGCUAAUACCGCAUACGCCCUACGGGGGAAAGGGGGGGAUCGCAAGACCUCUCACUAUUGGAGCGGCCGAUAUCGGAUUGGCUAGUUGGUGGGGUAAAGGCUCACCAAGGCAACGAUCCGUAGCUGGUUUGAGAGGACGACCAGCCACACUGGGACUGAGACACGGCCCAGACUCCUACGGGAGGCAGCAGUGGGGAAUUUUAGACAAUGGGGGAAACCCUGAUCCAGCCAUCCCGCGUGUAUGAUGGAGGCCUUCGGGUUGUAAAGUACUUUUGGCAGAGAAGAAAAGGCAUCCCCUAAUACGGGAUGCUGCUGACGGUAUCUGCAGAAUAAGCACCGGCUAACUACGUGCCAGCAGCCGCGGUAAUACGUAGGGUGCAAGCGUUAAUCGGAAUUACUGGGCGUAAAGCGUGUGUAGGCGGUUCGGAAAGAAAGAUGUGAAAUCCCAGGGCUCAACCUUGGAACUGCAUUUUUAACUGCCGAGCUAGAGUAUGUCAGAGGGGGGUAGAAUUCCACGUGUAGCAGUGAAAUGCGUAGAUAUGUGGAGGAAUACCGAUGGCGAAGGCAGCCCCCUGGGAUAAUACUGACGCUCAGACACGAAAGCGUGGGGAGCAAACAGGAUUAGAUACCCUGGUAGUCCACGCCCUAAA
This 809-nucleotide ribosomal RNA is filed under the name uncultured bacterium. RNAcentral describes it as "bacterial SSU rRNA". It matches the Rfam family "Bacterial small subunit ribosomal RNA", at positions 8 to 806 of the family's 1533-position model. The record is from RNAcentral.